GAUGAAGAACGUAGCGAAAUGCGAUACGUAGUGUGAAUUGCAGAAUUCAGUGAAUCAUCGAAUCUUUGAACGCACAUUGCACCUCUCGGUAUUCCGGGAGGUAUGCCUGUUCGAGCGUCAUUUGUACCCUCAAGCUCUGCUUGGUGUUGGGUGUUUGUUCCGCCUCUGUGUGUGAACUCGCCUCAAAACAAUUGGCAGCCGGCGUACUUGUUCCGGAGCGCAGCACAUUUUGCGAUCCAGAUCAACGUACAGCGGCAUCCAAGAAGCCUUAUUUAACGCUCUUGACCUCGGAUCAGGUAGGGAUACCCGCUGAACUUAAGCAUAUCAAUAAGCGGAGGA
Molecule: unclassified non-coding RNA, 339 nt
Filed under: soil metagenome
Description: partial contains 5.8S ribosomal RNA, internal transcribed spacer 2, and large subunit ribosomal RNA
Rfam family: 5.8S ribosomal RNA (bases 1-120)
Source: RNAcentral